GGUACUUGAGGAGGAAGCCCCGGCUAACUACGUGCCAGCAGCCGCGGUAAUACAGUAGGGGGCAAGCGUUAUCCGGAAUCACUGGGCGUAAAGGGUGCGUAGGCGGUUUUUCAAGUCAGAAGUGAAAGGCUAUGGCUCAACCAUAGUAAGCUUUUGAAACUGUUAAACUUGAGUGCAGGAGAGGAAAGUGGAAUUCCUAGUGUAGAGGUGAAAUUCGUAGAUACCCA
This 227-nucleotide ribosomal RNA is filed under the name Clostridia bacterium enrichment culture DGGE band 1. RNAcentral's name for it is "partial 16S ribosomal RNA". It matches the Rfam family "Bacterial small subunit ribosomal RNA", at positions 474 to 700 of the family's 1533-position model. The record is from RNAcentral. Lineage: Bacteria; Bacillati; Bacillota; Clostridia.